This 64-nucleotide transfer RNA is filed under the name Sciopemyia fluviatilis. RNAcentral describes it as "tRNA-Leu". The record is from RNAcentral. Lineage: Eukaryota; Metazoa; Arthropoda; Insecta; Diptera; Psychodidae.
CUAUUUUGGCAGAUAAAUGCAAUAAAUUUAGAAUUUAUUUAUAUAAUAUAGAUUAUAAGUAGUA